UGCAUGUCUAAGUACACGCCCUAGCAAGGCGAAACCGCGAAUGGCUCAUUAAAUCAGUUAUGGUUCCUUAGAUCGUACACGACUACUUGGAUAACUGUGGUAAUUCUAGAGCUAAUACAUGCAGCUGAGCCCUCGACCUUCUUGGGAGAGGGUGCUUUUAUUAGACCAAGACCGGACGGGCUUGCCCGAUAGUCGUGGUGACUCUGGAUAACUAUGGCGGAUCGCACGGUCUUCGUACCGGCGACGCAUCUUUCAAGUGUCUGCCUUAUCAACUGUCGAUGGUAGGUUAUGCGCCUACCAUGGUUGUUACGGGUAACGGGGAAUCAGGGUUCGAUUCCGGAGAGGGAGCCUGAGAAACGGCUACCACAUCCAAGGAAGGCAGCAGGCGCGCAAAUUACCCACUCGCUGUCCGCGGAGGUAGUGACGAAAAAUAACAAUACGGGACUCUAUCGAGGCCCCGUAAUUGGAAUGAGUACACUCUAAACCUUUUAACGAGGAUCUAUUGGAGGGCAAGUCUGGUGCCAGCAGCUGCGGUAACUCCAGCUCCAAUAGCGUAUAUUAAAGUUGUUGCGGUUAAAAAGCUCGUAGUUGGAUCUCAGUCGUGCCCUCGUCGAGAUGCCGCAAGGCAUGCUUUGGCAGGGUCGGCAGCACGUCGGUCGCCUCGAUUGGCCUUAAAAAGCUGACCGGGUUGUCCGACACUUUUACUUUGAAAAAAUUAGAGUGCUCAAAGCAGGCCGAGGCCUGUAUACUGGUGCAUGGAAUAAUGGAAUAGGACCUCGGUUCUAUUUUGUUGGUUUUUGGAUCCCGAGGUAAUGAUUAAGAGGGACAGACGGGGGCAUUCGUAUUGCGGCGCUAGAGGUGAAAUUCUUGGACCGCUGCUUAAAGGAAUUGACGGAAGGGCACCACCAGGAGUGGAGCCUGCGGCUUAAUUUGACUCAACACGGGAAAACUUACCCGGCCCGGACACCGGAAGGAUUGACAGAUUAAUAGCUCUUUCUUGAUUCGGUGGGUGGUGGUGCAUGGCCGUUCUUAGUUGGUGGAGUGAUUUGUCUGGUUAAUUCCGAUAACGAACGAGACUCUAGCCUACUAAAUAGACCCUACAUCCUUGGUAUGUAGAGCAGGUCUUCUUAGAGGGACAGGCGGCUUUUAGCCGCACGAAACAGAGCAAUAACAGGUCUGUGAUGCCCUUAGAUGUCCGGGGCCGCACGCGCGCUACACUGAAGGGAUCAGCGUGUGUCUACCCUAGUCCGAAAGGACCGGGUAACCAGGUGAACCCCCUUCGUGAUGGGGAUAGGGGAUUGUAAUUAUUCCCCUCGAACGAGGAAUUCCCAGUAAGCGUGAGUCAUCAGCUCGCGUUGAUUACGUCCCUGCCCUUUGUACACACCGCCCGUCGCUACUACCGAUUGAAUGAUUUAGUGAGGUCUUCGGACUGGUUCAACGAGCGGUUACGGCCGUUCACUGCGUCGGGAAGAUGACCGAACUUGAUCAUUUAGAGGAAGUAAAAGUCGUAACAAGGUUGCC
Molecule: ribosomal RNA, 1521 nt
Filed under: Pseudalbiorix veracruzensis
Lineage: Eukaryota; Metazoa; Arthropoda; Arachnida; Pseudoscorpiones; Ideoroncidae
Description: SSU rRNA
Rfam family: Eukaryotic small subunit ribosomal RNA
Source: RNAcentral